RNAcentral lists this ribosomal RNA (76 nucleotides) under Allotinus portunus. RNAcentral describes it as "partial 5.8S ribosomal RNA". The record is from RNAcentral. Lineage: Eukaryota; Metazoa; Arthropoda; Insecta; Lepidoptera; Lycaenidae.
CAUUUGAACAUCGACAUUUCGAACGCACAUUGCGGUCCGUGGAGAAACAUCCUGGACCACUCCUGUCUGAGGGCCG